Molecule: ribosomal RNA, 301 nt
Filed under: uncultured bacterium
Lineage: Bacteria
Description: partial 16S ribosomal RNA
Rfam family: Bacterial small subunit ribosomal RNA
Source: RNAcentral
CAGUCGCCGCGGUAAUACGGAGGGGGCUAGCGUUGUUCGGAAUUACUGGGCGUAAAGCGCACGUAGGCGGCUUGGUAAGUUAGAGGUGAAAGCCUGGAGCUCAACUCCAGAAUUGCCUUUAAGACUGCCGAGCUAGCAGGUGAGAGAGGUAAGUGGAAUUCCGAGUGUAGAGGUGAAAUUCGUAGAUAUUGGGAAGAACACCGGUGGCGAAGGCGGCAACCUGGCUCAUUACUGACGCUGAGGCGCGAAAGCGUGGGGAGCAAACAGGAUUAGAUACCCCGGUAGUCCCUGUCUCUUAUAC